Molecule: long non-coding RNA, 1244 nt
Filed under: Mytilus galloprovincialis (Mediterranean mussel)
Lineage: Eukaryota; Metazoa; Mollusca; Bivalvia; Mytilida; Mytilidae
Source: RNAcentral
GCUUAGAUAUAGAAAGAUGUGGUGCGAGUGCUUGAAAACAAAUUAUGGUUCGGUUCAUUGUGUGCUAUACAUUAGUUGGUGCUGACAGUUCUCAAGCAAUAAAAUAUUGAUAUUUUUACUUUCCUUGAUCGCCUUUUCUCUGCUAUAAAAAUCUAUCUAUUAUAGCCAACUAUCUAAAUGUUGCGUUCGACAUGAUGUAUUAAUGUAAAGUGGCAUGUAGAUUAAAUUAUAAAAAAUCAACCUAACCACAUCCUUAAAUCGAAGAUUAUCACAUACAUGACAGAAUGACAGAACAUGAAACGAGAGAAGACCUUUACACUAUUUUUGUGCAUGUUGUUAGGAUGUUUAUUCAAAUAUCGAAGGGAACCUUUGCAUUUUAUACAAACUUUGCAGUUGUGAAAGCAUGAAAUUGAUCCGCACACUUCUCUCAGUGACAUGCAAAUCAUACAAAUAUUUAUAUAAAGUAAUUGAAACAAACAGAAUUUAGUUUUGAUUUUUAAUAAACAGAAUUUCGCUUUGACUUUUAACAAACAGAAUCGUCUAUUUCCUUUACAUGUACAUAUACAAUAGCUCUGUGAGGUCAAAUUCCUGAUGUAUUUAAGUUUUCACAUAAUCUAUCCCAAAUGUAAAUGAUAACAGUCAAAGAUAUUGAAAAAAAUCCUAAAAGCUAAUUGUUCUUGAUAAUGUUGCCAUUUCUGAUAGUUCACCUGUAACGCGCCUCGAAUUCAAAUUGUUAUUAUUUUUUCAAUCACUGACACAAUACCUCUGUUGGUUGACUGUUGAUCUCCAAAGAGGAUCAUCAGCUCAGUAACUAGUGCGUUGCUAAUGACAUAAUUUAAAAUCUGUUUUUAAUUAUAUAUUUUAAUGAUAAAUAUGGGAAUAAUAUAAAACCAAAUGUUCCAACUCUCUCUUGGAUUAAUUUGGAUAUUAUUUGCGACAAAGAACCACUCACGGAUGUAGGUAUUUAUACAGUCUUGGUUUUCAAUGUUAUGACUUUCAGCGUUCUGUGUGAUUACAGUCCGCACUAAACUGAUGUUGUAUUUAAAUUGCAAAAUAUCAAUAUAUUUUUUUUAUUACAACAGUUCAUCUAAAUAUAAUAAAACUUCAUGUACGUUAAAAUUUGAAAUAUACAAUUUGCGAUUAAUAUUGAUUGUUCCAUUCAUUAGCAUUGGUUGUCUAGCGCCAUCUCCGUGAUCCAAUGUAAGAGGUGUAUAAUGUUAAACAUCGAGGAAACAAUCUGAAAU